AUUGAACGCUGGCGGCAGGCCUAACACAUGCAAGUCGAGCGGAUGACAGGAGCUUGCUCCUGAAUUCAGCGGCGGACGGGUGAGUAAUGCCUAGGAAUCUGCCUGGUAGUGGGGGACAACGUUUCGAAAGGAACGCUAAUACCGCAUACGUCCUACGGGAGAAAGCAGGGGACCUUCGGGCCUUGCGCUAUCAGAUGAGCCUAGGUCGGAUUAGCUAGUUGGUGAGGUAAUGGCUCACCAAGGCGACGAUCCGUAACUGGUCUGAGAGGAUGAUCAGUCACACUGGAACUGAGACACGGUCCAGACUCCUACGGGAGGCAGCAGUGGGGAAUAUUGGACAAUNGGCGAAAGCCUGAUCCAGCCAUGCCGCGUGUGUGAAGAAGGUCUUCGGAUUGUAAAGCACUUUAAGUUGGGAGGAAGGGCAUUAACCUAAUACGUUAGUGUUUUGACGUUACCGACAGAAUAAGCACCGGCU
Molecule: ribosomal RNA, 475 nt
Filed under: Pseudomonas sp. NN018589
Lineage: Bacteria; Pseudomonadati; Pseudomonadota; Gammaproteobacteria; Pseudomonadales; Pseudomonadaceae
Description: bacterial SSU rRNA
Rfam family: Bacterial small subunit ribosomal RNA
Source: RNAcentral